RNAcentral lists this non-coding RNA (184 nucleotides) under Ricinus communis (castor bean). Its description in RNAcentral is "Eukaryotic large subunit ribosomal RNA". It matches the Rfam family "Eukaryotic large subunit ribosomal RNA", at positions 3219 to 3401 of the family's 3401-position model. Lineage: Eukaryota; Viridiplantae; Streptophyta; Magnoliopsida; Malpighiales; Euphorbiaceae. The record is from Rfam by way of RNAcentral.
CACGUGUCGUGGCUAAGCCCUCGCGGCGGACGAGCCGCGCGGGCCGCCUUGAAUUACAAUUUCCACCGGGCGGCGGACUGAAUCCUUUGCAGACGACUUAAAUACGCGACGGGGUAUUGUAAGUGGCAGAGUGGCCUUGCUGCCACGAUCCACUGAGAUUCAGCCCUUCGUCGCUCCGAUUCGU